This 420-nucleotide ribosomal RNA is filed under the name uncultured bacterium. RNAcentral's name for it is "bacterial SSU rRNA". It matches the Rfam family "Bacterial small subunit ribosomal RNA", at positions 30 to 496 of the family's 1533-position model. The record is from RNAcentral.
UGAACGCUGGCGGCGUGCUUAACACAUGCAAGUCGAACGAACCUUCGGGUUAGUGGCGGACGGGUGAGUAACGCGUGAGAAUCUGCCCUCAGGAGGGGGAUAACAGCUGGAAACGGCUGCUAAUACCCCAUAUGCCGCGAGGUGAAAUGAAUUUCGCCUGAGGAUGAGCUCGCGUCUGAUUAGCUAGUUGGUGUAGGUAAUGGCUCACCAAGGCAUCGAUCAGUAGCUGGUCUGAGAGGAUGAUCAGCCACACUGGGACUGAGACACGGCCCAGACUCCUACGGGAGGCAGCAGUGGGGAAUUUUCCGCAAUGGGCGAAAGCCUGACGGAGCAACGCCGCGUGAGGGAUGAAGGCCUCUGGGCUGUAAACCUCUUUUAUCAAGGAAGAAGAUCUGACGGUACUUGAUGAAUAAGCCACGG